CUAGUCCGGGCCUUGGGGGAGUCCCCGGAGUCCCCGUGGCUUUCCAGCUCCAGGCUCGGGAGAGGGUGACCUUGGAGCCGGGAUUUCACUUCUACAGCGCUGUGGUGCCGGGGGGACAGGGAGAAGGGCUCCCUGGCCCCCAGUUCACGAGGAGAAGGGGCCUUGACCGGUCAGGACCACCACCCUACGACGCCGCUCAGCUCUGGGCGAUUCUCUCCUCCCUUGCUGAAGCAGGCAUUGAGAGCCUGCGUUCCUCCCGCUCUGUUUCCGUUUAGGUAAAAUGGAUAGAAUAAUAGUACUUACCUCAAAGGAUUGUUGAAGAGAAUCAACAAGAUGAUAUCCCUGAAGCACUGGGAAUAGUGUCUGGCACACAGCACUCUCCCAGGAGCACACCGCGGCGCUAGAGAAGACCAGGAAAAAGGACCUGAGCCAGCUUGCCGUCUUAACAAAAAUUUCAAACUUUGCAAAGCGGUAUACCUUCUUAUUCUCCAGUUCAGUAUUGCCAGUGAAGUCAUACUGAACGCAGACAAGGAAAAGAAAGAAAAAGAAACUCAAUGAGAUAUGUUGUCAUCUUCCCUGUUUUAUGGAUGAAGUUCUAAGUAGAGGUUCGGAGAAGGAGCCCAACUGUUGUAUUUAGACUAAGAUGCUCAAAUAUUCUGCUAAAUGAAGCCACAGCUGCUCUGUCAGAAACAUCACGUUAAAAUGUGAAACGAUUUGGCAAUGUUCUGAGGACGACUUUCAUUUCAUGAGCUACAAAACCACUCUGGAUGUCAUGAGGACUUUGAGAAGCUCUUGCAGUUCUUGAAGAGGGGCCAGGAAAGCAGAGGCCAGCUGCAGCUGAGCAAAGUAGA
This 851-nucleotide long non-coding RNA is filed under the name Homo sapiens (human). Its description in RNAcentral is "HSALNT0351623". The record is from RNAcentral. Lineage: Eukaryota; Metazoa; Chordata; Mammalia; Primates; Hominidae.